GGGGGCGUAUUGGUUUCGACGGGGAUCAUUUUUGGCAGAUAAGCAAGCGGCAGUUUCCAAAUCUGCGUUAAAAAAGUGGAAUUAAAAAUAAACGCUAACGACAAUACAGUUUUAGCUGCUGCCUAAUUGCAGCAUGCCCAAUUCCUGAAUUCCCUGUUCGGUCAGGAAGGGCAUCAAAACAGAACAGGAUAGCACCUGAUUUGCAGCUCUGAGAGUCAGGCGAAUUUUACAGAGCUACUGAUCGGUUUCCAGCAGAAAGGGUACACCGAAAAGGAAUUUUAUACUUUCUGAUAAGCUUGUAGAAAGUUUGCUGUAAAGGUUUUCGGACAGGGGUUCGACUCCCCUCGCCUCCACCA
This 356-nucleotide transfer-messenger RNA is filed under the name pig gut metagenome. It matches the Rfam family "transfer-messenger RNA". Rfam says of the family: Bacterial tmRNA, also known as 10Sa RNA or SsrA, is named for its dual tRNA and mRNA-like properties. Its role is to liberate the mRNA from a stalled ribosome. The record is from RNAcentral.